This is a long non-coding RNA of Myotis daubentonii (Daubenton's bat), 2172 nucleotides long. RefSeq lists it as uncharacterized. The record is from RefSeq and is a predicted model, not a curated record. Lineage: Eukaryota; Metazoa; Chordata; Mammalia; Chiroptera; Vespertilionidae. The transcript has 2 exons.
GUCGAUGGCGAACCUUUUGAGCUCGGCGUGUCAGCAUUUUGAAAAACCCUAACUUAACUCUGGUGCCGUGUCACAUAUAGACAUUUUUUUGAUAUUUGCAGCCAUAGUAAAACAAAGACAUAUUUUUGAUAUUUAUUUUAUGUAUUUAAAUGCCAUUUAACAGAAAAAUCAACCAAAAAAAUGAGUUUGCGUGUCACCCCUGACACGCGUGUCAUAGGUUCGCCAUCACUGGAACAGCUCUAGACUCUAGAGAACCGGCCGGAGGUGGACGGUGAGGCUGGAUGAGGUGAGGGGGCCGGAGCCGGGGAGGAGCUGGGGAGCCAGUGUGUCUUCCCCAGCGACUGGCAACCCUAGGAACUGAGCUUGGGAGAUAGAAGGAGAAUGGCAAGGAUUCUUUCUAGGAAAUGGGGAGACUACAGUGGUUCUCAAGCUUCCUACUGCCGCGACCCUUUAAUACAGUUCCUCAUGUUGUGGUGACCCCCAAUUUCACUGUUACAAAUUGAACAAAAACAAUAUGUAAUUAUAUAUGUGUUUUCCGAUGGUCUUAGGUGACCCCUGUGAAAGGGUCGUUCGACCCCAAAGGGUCGCGACCCACAGGUUGAGAACCGCUAGUUUUGUGAAAAACAGGGACGUCAGGAGGAAGGUGGCUUUUGGAGGCAAAGCUGGUGCAUUUGUGUUUUUACGAGACGAGACGGCAGUGCGGGGUGGAUAGUGUCCAGGGCGCCGUGGGGAUGUGAGGGAUUGUCAGUGUUCAUAAGGAGCACUCAUGGGAAUUCUACAAAGCCAGCCGGUUUCUGGGGAACUUAGGAAUCUAACAAGAAAUAAAGUAAACUUUUUGUGCUAAAGCCUCCAAAUCAAUAGGAAAUAGUUUUCUUUUAACUCCAGGGCUUAUACCGCGGAAUGAGGUAUUGGGCGUUGAAUUGUAUCCCUCAAAAAAGAGAUGAGGAAGUCUGACUCCUCAGAAUAUGACCUCAUUUCCAAAUAGGGUCAUUGCAGAUGUAAUUAGUUAAACUUAAAAAAGAGGUCACACUGGGGUGUGUGUGUGUGGGAGGGGGGGCUGGCUAAUUCAAUAUGACUGGUGUCCUUAUAAGAAGAUCAGCCCUAACCCGUUGGGCUCAGUGGAUAUACUGUUGACCUGUGGACCGAAGGGUCCCGGGUUCGAAUUCGGUCAAGGGUACGGGCACGUAUCUGGGUUGCAGGCUCCUCCUGGGCCCAGGCCCUGGUCCGGGCUGGUGCAGGAGGCAACCCAUCGGUGUGUUUCUCUCACAUCGAUAUUUCUCUGUCUUUCCCUCUCUCUUCCCCUCUCUCUAAAAAUCAAUGGAAAAAUAUCCUCGGGUGAGAAUUAAAAAAAGAAAAAAGAAGAAGAAGAUGAGUGCCAUGUGAAGAUGGAGCCCAAAAUGGAAGUGAUGCACAUACAAACCACGGAAGGCCAAGGAUAGCCAGCACAGGCUGGGAGAGAGGCGUGGAACAGGUUCACUCUCAGAAGGAACCGACCCUGCCAACACCUGCACUUCAGACUUCCGGCCUCCAGAGCUGUGAGAGAAUAAAUUUCUGUUGUUUUAAGCCACCAGGUUUGUGGUAAUGUGUUACAGCAGCCACGGAAGGAGCCUGGUGAUGGAUGCUUUCGGAGAGAGGAAGGGGAAGGGAGAGAGAGAGAAACAUCAAAGAUGAGAGAAGCAUCGAUCAGCGGCCUCCUGCACGCCCCCGGCUGGGGUUUAAGCCUGCAACCCGAGCAUGUGCCCGUGACUGGAAUUGAACCCAGAGGAGCCCAGUGAUUUGCUUCAGUCUGUAGGCCAACGCUCUGUCCACUGAGCUAAACCAGCUAGAGCUGGGGAGCCAAUUAUUAACGAGCUUGUGGGGAAACCCUCGCUCCCUGGAGCAUUCAUUCAGAAUUGCUUUGACCAGAGGCUGGAGGUGGAAGGGAAAGAGGCAACCACUGUGCCUGAUUUACUGUAAACCAGAAUCUGGGUUCAAAAUGAAAGUCGUCAUCUUCCCCAGAAACCAGCUCCUUCUCACUUCCCUGGGUUUGUUGCCCACAUGCAUACGCCCCUGCUCCUCCCACUUCUUUUGUCAUUAUGUCUAGCUUGUCAUCUACUUACUGUGUUUUUUAAAGGUUUUUGACCAUAAUGUACAUGGGAAACAACUGCUUUAUUAAACUUUGGUUUACACAUA